Molecule: ribosomal RNA, 965 nt
Filed under: uncultured bacterium
Lineage: Bacteria
Description: bacterial SSU rRNA
Rfam family: Bacterial small subunit ribosomal RNA
Source: RNAcentral
AUACGUAGGGUGCAAGCGUUAUCCGGAAUUAUUGGGCGUAAAGGGCUCGUAGGCGGUUCGUCGCGUCCGGUGUGAAAGUCCAUCGCUUAACGGUGGAUCCGCGCCGGGUACGGGCGGGCUUGAGUGCGGUAGGGGAGACUGGAAUUCCCGGUGUAACGGUGGAAUGUGUAGAUAUCGGGAAGAACACCAAUGGCGAAGGCAGGUCUCUGGGCCGUUACUGACGCUGAGGAGCGAAAGCGUGGGGAGCGAACAGGAUUAGAUACCCUGGUAGUCCACGCCGUAAACGGUGGAUGCUGGAUGUGGGGCCCGUUCCACGGGUUCCGUGUCGGAGCUAACGCGUUAAGCAUCCCGCCUGGGGAGUACGGCCGCAAGGCUAAAACUCAAAGAAAUUGACGGGGGCCCGCACAAGCGGCGGAGCAUGCGGAUUAAUUCGAUGCAACGCGAAGAACCUUACCUGGGCUUGACAUGUUCCCGACGAUCCCAGAGAUGGGGUUUCCCUUCGGGGCGGGUUCACAGGUGGUGCAUGGUCGUCGUCAGCUCGUGUCGUGAGAUGUUGGGUUAAGUCCCGCAACGAGCGCAACCCUCGCCCCGUGUUGCCAGCGGAUUAUGCCGGGAACUCACGGGGGACCGCCGGGGUUAACUCGGAGGAAGGUGGGGAUGACGUCAGAUCAUCAUGCCCCUUACGUCCAGGGCUUCACGCAUGCUACAAUGGCCGGUACAACGGGAUGCGACAGCGCGAGCUGGAGCGGAUCCCUGAAAACCGGUCUCAGUUCGGAUCGCAGUCUGCAACUCGACUGCGUGAAGGCGGAGUCGCUAGUAAUCGCGAAUCAGCAACGUCGCGGUGAAUGCGUUCCCGGGCCUUGUACACACCGCCCGUCAAGUCAUGAAAGUGGGCAGCACCCGAAGCCGGUGGCCUAACCCCUUGCGGGAGGGAGCCGUCUAAGGUGAGGCUCGUGAUUGGGACU